Molecule: ribosomal RNA, 210 nt
Filed under: uncultured bacterium
Lineage: Bacteria
Description: partial 16S ribosomal RNA
Rfam family: Bacterial small subunit ribosomal RNA
Source: RNAcentral
CAUGUAGGCGGAUUAAUAAGUUUGAAGUGAAAUCCUAUAGCUUAACUAUAGAACUGCUUUGAAAACUGUUAAUCUAGAAUGUGGGAGAGGUAGAUGGAAUUUCUGGUGUAGGGUAAAUCCGUAGAGAUCAGAAGGAAUACCGAUUGCGAAGGCGAUCUACUGGAACAUUAUUGACGCUGAGAUGCGAAAGCGGUAGGGGAGACAAAACGA